GGUAGAGCAGCAAUGCUUGAGAGUGGCGAACGGGUGAGUAAUAUAUCGGAACGUGCCCAGUCGUGGGGGAUAACGUAGAGAAAUUUACGCUAAUACCGCAUACGAUCUAAGGAUGAAAGCGGGGGAUUCUGCAAGGAGCCUCGCGCGAUUGGAGCGGCUGAUAUCAGAUUAGGUUGUUGGUGAGGUAAAAGCUCACCAAGCCGACGAUCUGUAGCUGGUUUGAGAGAACGACCAGCCACACUGGGACUGAGACACGGCCCAGACUCCUACGGGAGGCAGCAGUGGGGAAUUUUGGACAAUGGGCGAAAGCCUGAUCCAGCAAUGCCGCGUGCAGGAAGAAGGCCUUCGGGUUGUAAACUGCUUUUGUACGGAACGAAACGGUCUGCUCUAAUACAGUGGGCUAAUGACGGUACCGUAAGAAUAAGCACCGGCUAACUACGUGCCAGCAGCCGCGGUAAUACGUAGGGUGCGAGCGUUAAUCGGAAUUACUGGGCGUAAAGCGUGCGCAGGCGGUUAUAUAAGACAGUUAUGAAAUCCCCGGGCUCAACCUGGGAAUUGCAUCUGUGACUGUAUAGCUAGAGUACGGUAGAGGGGGAUGGAAUUCCGCGUGUAGCAGUGAAAUGCGUAGAUAUGCGGAGGAACACCGAUGGCGAAGGCAAUCCCCUGGACCUGUACUGACGCUCAUGCACGA
This 691-nucleotide ribosomal RNA is filed under the name uncultured bacterium. Its description in RNAcentral is "bacterial SSU rRNA". It matches the Rfam family "Bacterial small subunit ribosomal RNA", at positions 68 to 756 of the family's 1533-position model. The record is from RNAcentral.